RNAcentral lists this ribosomal RNA (414 nucleotides) under uncultured prokaryote. Its description in RNAcentral is "bacterial SSU rRNA". It matches the Rfam family "Bacterial small subunit ribosomal RNA", at positions 355 to 786 of the family's 1533-position model. The record is from RNAcentral.
UAGGGAAUAUUGGACAAUGGGCGAAAGCCUGAUCCAGCCAUGCCGCGUGGAUGAAGAAGGCCCUAGGGUUGUAAAGUCCUUUCACCGCCGAGGAUAAUGACGGUAGGCGGAGAAGAAGCCCCGGCUAAUUUCGUGCCAGCAGCCGCGGUAAUACGAAAGGGGCUAGCGUUGUUCGGAAUUACUGGGCGUAAAGCGCGCGUAGGCGGUUUGCCAAGUUGGAGGUGAAAUCCCGGGGCUCAACCCCGGAACUGCCUUCAAAACUGGCAGACUAGAGGCCGUGAGAGGAGAGUGGAAUUCCGAGUGUAGAGGUGAAAUUCGUAGAUAUUCGUAAGAACACCAGUGGCGAAGGCGACUCUCUGGCACGGUUCUGACGCUGAGGUGCGAAAGCGUGGGGAGCAAACAGGAUUAGAUACC